AGAGCCUGGAGAAAGUUCUUCUGGAAUUCAGUCAUAAGGAAUUAUUUGAUUUCUAUAACAAGCUAGAGACCAUACAAGCACAGCUGGAUUCCCUUACAUGAUGUUCUUGAAGACUGGUUUCUCUGUCACACUCCUGCCACCUCAUUAUUUUGCAUUGAAGAUAAACUGCCAGGUUGUGUUUUCUGAAGGAUUCACUAGCUUUCUUCUUGUAAAUUAUACAGCUUACUGCUUUGUAGACAAAUAACCGCCAAGGAAGAUCACUGUUCUGAGUGCUCAGGUUCCAAUAUGCAUUCUCUUGUUCUGAGAGCCAACAGCAAGUAAUGGUUAAGAACACUUCUGCGUUAAAGAAAAUAGCUGUGAAUAUCAUGUGGUUAUUACUGUCCUGUUUUUGUUUUAUUGCCUGACCCGUUUAUUUUUUACAUACUUGAUGAUACUUGUAGGUAUCAAAGAGGGUCCAUGGAUACAAAGUAUACUGUAUAUUUUAAAAUAGGGAACUUUAGUGAUUACAUUGAUAAAAAUAAGUAGCCACAUGCAAUUAAGUACAUUAUGAUUUUUUUUCUUUAAUACAGUGAGUAUAUUUUCUUGGGAAAUAAUACAGGGAGGACAUUUUAAAUAGAACUAGUACUAGCAUAUCAUUCAGUUCCAGUGUGAGCAUCUCUGUGCACUUUAGAUUUUUCUCUACAUUUAAUGAUUUAGUAACAGUUUGGGGGUUUGUGUGCUUUUCUUUGUACUGCAAAUUAAUAAUGAUUAAUUAUUAAUUUCAUAGCAUGGGAGACAGAUCCACAUAAUGAGUAAAAAAUAAUUGUAAUGAGUGCCAAACAAAUAUCCUUAAAAUUCUAAAACAUACUUUUUACAUUCUCUUUCUAUGAAUAUGUUAAUUAAUUUCACUCAAUAAGAUUUUUUGUCUCAGAAUUAUUUGAACUGAAGUGCACAGCAUUUUAUUCUGUGGAUGUAUAUAAAUAUGAGUAUGGUUGUCUGCAGAAAAUAAUAUCACUUGAAUUUUUAUGAAUGAAAUGUCUGUACUACAUUUUUUUUCUAGAGAGAAAGACAGACAUGGUGGGAGAGGACAGGAGAGAUAGGAGGGGAAGGGAGAGAGAAAAUGAGAGAGAGAGAAUAACAGAGAUACAAAUAUGACUUCACAUGAAAGAAUUGGAUUUCAGACAUACCCUAUAGUUAAAUGGAGUCACUGAAUUUAAGUCACAUUUCUUAUAUGAGGUUUCUGAGUAAUAGGAAUGUUAAAUGACUCCCAGAUAUAUGUUCAGUAUAUGGAAUGUAUGCACUUACUUAUUUUAUAUGUGCUUAUAUAUUGUUGUUUAGAAGGCUUAGGAAUUUGGAUUAUUUCAGAAAGUAAAUAUUACAGUGGCUGUCCAUAGUUGGUAGACUUGAAAAGUUUUUAAACUCAAACUUCCACUGAUAGGAUAUCUAGAAGACAUGUUUAGAAUGGGAUUUGUUUCUAUAUGUAGCUGUGUGGUCCGUCUUAAAUUUUUAUAUUCUGUUCUGCUGGUCCCCAGAGGUAACCACAUGACCACUAUAAACGUUUUGGUAAAUACUCUUUCAGCUGAUUUCUUAUAUACAAAUAAACAUGCCUCAUUUCAAGUUGAAUUUAUUAGGCCUUCCUGACAGAGACCAUAUGGAUAGACAGAAGUUUUCAUUGGUUUAAUGGCCAACUUAACUCCCAGUAUAGAUAUCUAAAUUAAAUGUGACACUUCCAAGCAAAAUUUCUUAUUAAGUAGCUUAAAAUAGUGAUAAAUUGUUUUCUCUCCAUCAGUAUAGUUCAGGAAAGUCUGACCAAAGGCAUUGCAGAAAGGACCAGUAAGCAGUAGGUUUAAUUCCAACUAAGAACAUAAUUAUUCUUGAAAUAUAGUUUUUUUCUUUUCUUUCUUUUCUUUUUUUUUUUUUUUCUUUUUUUUCUUUUUAGGGCCGCACCUACAGCCUGUGGAGAUUCCCAGGCUAGGAGGCCAGGGAUGGAACCCACAACCUCAGAUUUGUUUCUGCUGUGCCGUAGCAGGAACUCCCAUCCUGAAAUAUAUUUAUUGUAGAUAAUUUUAUUUCUUAAGGUAUCACCAUUGUUACAAUACACAAGUCAAAAAAAAGUAUCAUUCCCAAGGAUUAUUAAAUGUGUGUUACUUUUUCAGAGAAGUAAGAUGGGUGGGGCAAUAAGUGGGAACUGAAACCUAUUCUCUUAGUACAUUAACAUGUAUUGCAAGUUGCUUAUCAAAAGGAUUGAAUAAAAAUAAAUUACUUGCUAGAAAGGAGCAUUACAAAUAAUGUUUGCAAUUCUUCUGUUAGAAAAUAUGAUUGUUUUUAGUUAGGAAAUACCAAAAAAAAAAAAAAAAACCGUGAAGGAAUAACCUAAAAUUGUAGAAUCUCAUCAUCUAGAAAUGGCCAUUAAUGACAUUUUGGUAGAUUUUAUUGAAAGUUGUUUUUUGUUUUUUGUUUUUUCCAUUCAUAUGUCUUUCUCCUUUUUUUCCUUCUUACAUAACAAAUUGGAUUAAUGCAAUAAAUAUAGUUUCACACUUUGCUUUGCUUCUGUAACAUUGUAACAUAAGGAUUUUUCUUGCCCUUAUUGUGUAAAACAUAAUUUUAACGUAUAUUAAAUUGUCCUUCAUUUAAAUGAGCUACUACGCUUUAUUUAGUCAACCAAUCUAUUUUGGGGCAUUUAGAUUAUUUCCAAUUUUUUAACAUGCUAAAGAAUAUGCUGGGGAAUAUCAUUAUAAAUAAACCUAGACCGCAUGUCUUAUUUUAUUAAUAUAGAUUGCUAGAAUUGGGAUUAUUAUGCCAAAACUAUGAAGAUUUGCUUUCUAUUUUUAUUUCUAAUGUGAUUGUAUUAUAAAAAUAAAAUUGCCUAUUUAAAAAAAAACAGUUAAGAAGUCUCUUUUGCUAUCUCACUCCCCAGAAGCACCUCCCUAACUAGUCGGAAACAUUUGUUUUGUAUCUUUUCACAUGCUUCAUGUAAAUUAAAAUACCCUUGUCUGU
This 2976-nucleotide long non-coding RNA is filed under the name Sus scrofa (pig). RNAcentral describes it as "lncRNA (ENSSSCG00065024063.1)". Lineage: Eukaryota; Metazoa; Chordata; Mammalia; Artiodactyla; Suidae. The record is from RNAcentral.